This 450-nucleotide ribosomal RNA is filed under the name uncultured bacterium. RNAcentral describes it as "bacterial SSU rRNA". It matches the Rfam family "Bacterial small subunit ribosomal RNA", at positions 354 to 796 of the family's 1533-position model. The record is from RNAcentral.
GUGGGGAAUUUUGGACAAUGGGCGCAAGCCUGAUCCAGCCAUGCCGCGUGAGUGAAGAAGGCCUUCGGGUUGUAAAGCUCUUUCGGCCGGAACGAAAUCGCACUCGUGAAUAACGAGUGUGGAUGACGGUACCGGAAGAAGAAGGACCGGCUAACUACGUGCCAGCAGCCGCGGUAAUACGUAGGGUCCAAGCGUUAAUCGGAAUUACUGGGCGUAAAGCGUGUGCAGGCGGUUUCGAAAGUCCGAUGUGAAAUCCCCGGGCUUAACCUGGGAACUGCGUUGGAAACUACGAAGCUAGAGUGCGGCAGAGGGGGGUGGAAUUCCAGGUGUAGCAGUGAAAUGCGUAGAUAUCUGGAGGAACACCGAUGGCGAAGGCAGCCCCCUGGGUCAGCACUGACGCUCAUACACGAAAGCGUGGGGAGCAAACAGGAUUAGAUACCCCGGUAGUCC